CUGCAGGAUAAGAGCAGGCCCUGAGCAACAGAGAUCUGCUGCUCUCAAGUACCUCUAGAGGCCUAGGCUCCUGAGGAAAUGCAUCCUGGAGAUGAGCCAUCCAGUGGUGGAAGGAUCCCUUGGAACACCCCCAUUUGAGAAGCCCAAUAUCGAGCAGUGCUGGAGCUGAAAGACCCAGGUCUGUGAGCAGCCGUCUCACACUCCACGUGGCCCAGCCAGGGUGGGACAGGGCAACGCACCAAGAUGAGCCUGGCAGACAGGAUUACACACACAGAUGUCAGCUCUCUCAUCCCUCCAACAACCCUGUACUUUAGCACAACUGAGAUUUACCAGGAAAAUCUCCCACGCCCACGUGACAACGAUGGCUAAUCCAGGCAGCAGGGAUCUCGCUCUGCAGCCUGCCCCACACUGUGCACCCAGAGAGGUCAGGCACCUUCCAGCAAUGCCCAGCCCCGAGCACGCAGCCAG
Long non-coding RNA from Alligator sinensis (Chinese alligator), 468 nucleotides. RefSeq lists it as uncharacterized. The record is from RefSeq and is a predicted model, not a curated record. The transcript is spliced from 3 exons. NCBI's taxonomy places the organism in Eukaryota, Metazoa, Chordata, Crocodylia, Alligatoridae.